UAACCNCGGUAAAGAAACAGUAGCUAAUAACCGGAUAACAACAGAUGAUGCCUAUCAACUGUUUAAAAGAUGGUUCUGCUAUCACUCUUGGAUGGACCUGCGGUGCAUUAGCUAGUUGGUAGGGUAACGGCCUACCAAGGCGAUGAUGCAUAGCCGAGUUGAGAGACUGAUCGGCCACAUUGGGACUGAGACACGGCCCAAACUCCUACGGGAGGCAGCAGCA
This 223-nucleotide ribosomal RNA is filed under the name uncultured Lactobacillus sp. RNAcentral's name for it is "partial 16S ribosomal RNA". It matches the Rfam family "Bacterial small subunit ribosomal RNA", at positions 144 to 355 of the family's 1533-position model. The record is from RNAcentral. Lineage: Bacteria; Bacillati; Bacillota; Bacilli; Lactobacillales; Lactobacillaceae.